AUACGUAGGUGACAAGCGUUAUCCGGAUUUACUGGGGCUCAACUCGGGCGCUGCUUCUGAAACUGCAGGACUUGAGUGCUGGAGGGGAUAGCGGAAUUCCUAGUGGAGCGGUAAAAUGCGAAGAUAUUAGGAAGGACACCGGUGGCGAAGGCGGCUAUGUGGACAGUAACUGACGCUGAGGCUCGAAAGCGUGGGGAGCAAAAAGGAUUAAAUGCCCUUGGAGUCCACGCCGUAAACGGUGAAUACUAGGUGUAGGGGAUAUCGACUCCCUCUGUGCCGCAGUUAACACAAUAAGUAUUCCGCCUGGGGAGUACGGCCGCAAGGUUGAAACUCAAAGGAAUUGACGGGG
This 349-nucleotide ribosomal RNA is filed under the name uncultured bacterium. RNAcentral's name for it is "partial 16S ribosomal RNA". It matches the Rfam family "Bacterial small subunit ribosomal RNA", at positions 523 to 918 of the family's 1533-position model. The record is from RNAcentral.